This 199-nucleotide non-coding RNA is filed under the name Mycoplasmatota bacterium. Its description in RNAcentral is "Tenericutes bacterium T-box sequence". It matches the Rfam family "T-box leader". From Rfam's summary of the family: Uncharged tRNA acts as the effector for transcription antitermination of genes in the T-box leader family. T-boxes are found upstream of many aminoacyl-tRNA synthetase genes and some amino acid biosynthetic genes usually in Gram-positive bacteria. The record is from RNAcentral. Lineage: Bacteria; Bacillati; Mycoplasmatota.
UAAAUAGCAAUGAAGAGGAAGAGUACCAAAACACUUGAUUUUAGAGACAGAUUGGUUGGUGAAAAAUCUGAUAAGUCUUUGGGAAGGUCGCCUUGGAGCUGAUGAUGCGAUGAGUGUCAUCCGUAAGCCGCGUUAAGGCAUAAUGAGGGCUAGAGCAAUCUAGAACUAAGGUGGUACCGCGUAAUUAUACGUCCUUAGC